RNAcentral lists this ribosomal RNA (253 nucleotides) under uncultured bacterium. RNAcentral's name for it is "partial 16S ribosomal RNA". It matches the Rfam family "Bacterial small subunit ribosomal RNA", at positions 524 to 776 of the family's 1533-position model. The record is from RNAcentral.
GACAGAGGGUGCAAACGUUGUUCGGAAUUACUGGGCGUAAAGCGUGCGCAGGCGGUUUUGUAAGCCAGAUGUGAAAGCCCCGGGCUCAACCUGGGAAUGGCAUUUGGGACUGCAAGGCUGGAGUUUGGCAGAGGAGACUGGAAUUCCCGGUGUAGCAGUGAAAUGCGUAGAUAUCGGGAGGAAUACCGAUGGCGAAGGCAGGUCUCUGGGCUAUAACUGACGCUCAUGCACGAAAGCGUGGGGAGCAAACAGG